CUCGAAAUCUGGGCACAACAGGAUUUCUGGGCUGAAAAGACAAACAAGAGGCACGUUUGUAAUACCACACAGUCACCUCUGCUGAGCCACGACCCUGUUAAUUCCAGGAAGACCUCCAAAGUGGAGUCACACCCUUCGUGGGCCAUCUGUAUUAAGAGGCAUAUGAUGUUCAUAUGUCUUACUACUGGUGUAGUAAGUGAUAGCUGGUGAGUGAUAGCUUAAAUAACUAGGGUAUGGUGACAUUUGCCAGGAGUCUCCAUAUGUUACUAUUAUUUCCUUUGUACUUAAUAAGUACCUUGUCAGAAGAUCCUCUGAGAACAUGCAAGUAUCCUGUUUCCCCUCACUCAUCCCAAUAGCAACAUCAAUUAUAAUUCUUUCCCCCAACAAUUACCAAUAUGGGCUUUACAAAAUGGUGAUUUUCCAUUUCCAUCAUUCCUUCUACAUUUAUGUCUGAGUCAGUUCUGGCUUCUAUAGCAGAAUAACAUAAACUGGGUGAUUAAACAACAAACAUUUAUUUCACACAGUUCUGAAGGCUAGGAAGUCUAAGGUCAAGGCAGAGGCAGAUCUGAGGUUUGGUGAGGGCCUUCUUGGUUUGGAGAUAAAACAUCUUCUUACUGUAUCCUCACAUGGCAGAGAAGAGAACGCCACCUUUCGUCUCUUCAUCUUCUUACAAGAAUACUAAUCCCAUCAUGGGGCUCCACACUUAUGAUUUCAUCUAAACCUAAUUAUUUCCCUUGGGGCCAGGGAUUUAGCUCAGUGGUUCUGCCACCUGCCUCAAAAGCACAAGGACCCAAGUUCGACCCCUGGUACCAAAAAACAAAAAAAAGCUGCUCUAUAUUUCUCACCUCAUUCAUUCCCCACCCCAUUAUUCAAACACCACCCCACUGGGUACUGGGGUUUCAAUACAUAGAUUUUAAGGUAACACGAAUAUGUAAUCCAUAGCAAUGAACUCAAAUUCUACUAUAAGUGUUGUCCUUUCUCCCCUUUUUAGUUCCUUAUUCAGUUACUUAUAUCAGCAUGAAUUCACAGAUACUAUAGAUAUUUUAUUCUAUAAAUUAUAACCCAAUGCCAUCAUUAUUUAUUUGGUUGCUCAAAUUGACCAGAUUUGGCCAUUGGAAGCUCCUUCAAGCUGGCUUCUGAGUCCUUUCAAUAUG
This is a non-coding RNA of Heterocephalus glaber (naked mole-rat), 1154 nucleotides long. NCBI's taxonomy places the organism in Eukaryota, Metazoa, Chordata, Mammalia, Rodentia, Bathyergidae. The record is from RefSeq and is a predicted model, not a curated record.